UUUUGACAAAUAUAAUAUAGUUGGACAUACGGAGUAUUAUUAUGGGAGAUUUUCACAUAUGGAAAGGCACCUGAUUAUAUUCCCCUCAGCCACUUAUCAGCAGGAAAGCGAUUGGACCAACCACUUGACUGUUCUGCCGUAAUUUACAUGAUUAUGUUAAGUUGUUGGGAUAUUAUACCGGAAAAAAGACCGACAUUCCAAGAACUGGUGAAGAGGAUCGAACAGAUACUGUCAUCCAGUCGAGAAUGUUUGAAACUAGUAUGGUGAACACGAUGUCUUACAUCCGAGAGUAGUCUCCAUGUUGUAAUAUUAUAUAAUACCUAUUUCUAUACUUCAAUAAAUACACGGGAUAACUAAUAACAACAAGCCAUACGGGAUGUAGGAUGAUUCAAUAUACAUAAUUAUACGCACUCCUUAUAUAGGUACACACGCGACACACGCAGCACUUAAAUAAUAAUCCAUAGCCUUCCGAGGAAGAAAUACAGUAAAAAUAACACAAUAUAAAUAACAAGCAGUACCUUUGUCAAACCGCACUAAAUAAAAUCAUAAACACAUCAAUACUUUAACAUUGCGCAUUAAUCAAUGCAUAUCAAAAGAAGCGAUUACAAAAAAAUCAUUUUAUAUAAGGAUCAUACAGAAUCAACUUUUUCCCUGUCUUAUUCACAAGGUCGUCAUGCACAACGUCCACGCCAGCCAAUCUCUCAAAAGAAGCCUCAAAACACAUCGUCCACCCCAGUAUAUUAUGCACUUCCACAAUAUUUUUGCCAUUCAAAGCGAUUGCGUUCUUAAUAUAUAUAUAUUGAGUAAUUCUAACAUUCGGUAUGACUGUCUUAUUAAUUAUCUCGGAUUACCGAACAAAA
Molecule: RNA transcript, 860 nt
Organism: Acyrthosiphon pisum (pea aphid)
Lineage: Eukaryota; Metazoa; Arthropoda; Insecta; Hemiptera; Aphididae
Exons: 2
Source: RefSeq, a predicted model, not a curated record